This 68-nucleotide transfer RNA is filed under the name Marmota monax (woodchuck). Its description in RNAcentral is "tRNA.Ala". It matches the Rfam family "tRNA". From Rfam's summary of the family: Transfer RNA (tRNA) molecules are approximately 80 nucleotides in length. Their secondary structure includes four short double-helical elements and three loops (D, anti-codon, and T loops). Lineage: Eukaryota; Metazoa; Chordata; Mammalia; Rodentia; Sciuridae. The record is from RNAcentral.
GGGGUGCAGCUCAGCGGUAGAGCGCUUGCCUAGCAAGCACAAGGCCUGGGUUCCAGCCCGGCACCCCG